AGCGAACGCUGGCGGCAGGCCUAACACAUGCAAGUCGAACGAACCUUUCGGGGUUAGUGGCGGACGGGUGAGUAACACGUGGGAACGUGCCUUUAGGUUCGGAAUAACUCAGGGAAACUUGUGCUAAUACCGAAUGUGCCCUUCGGGGGAAAGAUUUAUCGCCUUUAGAGCGGCCCGCGUCUGAUUAGCUAGUUGGUUGAGGUAAUGGCUCACCAAGGCGACGAUCAGUAGCUGGUCUGAGAGGAUGAUCAGCCACAUUGGGACUGAGACACGGCCCAAACUCCUGCGGGAAGCAGCAGUGGGGAAUCUUGCGCAAUGGGCGAAAGCCUGACGCAGCCAUGCCGCGUGAAUGAUGAAGGUCUUAGGAUUGUCAAAUUCUUUCACCGGGGACGAUAAUGACGGUACCCGGAGAAGAAGCCCCGGCUAACUUCGUG
RNAcentral lists this ribosomal RNA (434 nucleotides) under uncultured bacterium. Its description in RNAcentral is "partial 16S ribosomal RNA". It matches the Rfam family "Bacterial small subunit ribosomal RNA", at positions 29 to 507 of the family's 1533-position model. The record is from RNAcentral.